Long non-coding RNA from Rosa chinensis, 4748 nucleotides. RefSeq lists it as uncharacterized. The transcript is spliced from 4 exons. The record is from RefSeq and is a predicted model, not a curated record. NCBI's taxonomy places the organism in Eukaryota, Viridiplantae, Streptophyta, Magnoliopsida, Rosales, Rosaceae.
UUCUUCUCUCUGUUCUUCUUUUCCUCCGUACCCAAAAUCUCAGGCAUAUAUUCUAUCACUCACCCCUGUUCUUAAGUAGAGGAUCUGGGUUCAUCUAUGAAUCUGAAUGCAAUAUCAACGAAAUCAAUAACUUCAAAAUGGAAUCUCAAAAUGGAGCACAAUCACCACUGCCACUUCUCUAGGACAUCAUCGAAACCCACUUGAGAGUGUUGUAAAGGGUGUUGAAUGAACUGGUAUACAAUCAAUUGUGUUUCUUCUGGGUUUGAUGGUAUCAGAGUCUCCAUGGUUCACGCUGAUGCGUUAUGUGGGCUGCUUCUUGGAUGGGUUUUGGGCGAUUUCCAGUGCAAGAUUCGAGCUCCUUCAAUUAUUUAGGGAAGCAGUUCGUAUACAUAUGUACGGGUGAGCUGCAGCUGAUCAAGUGGAGAUGGAGAAUUCGAGGUUCAGUUUGCUAUCCUUAUUUGUAAAUGCCUUUGACACCUCUCGAUAGUUACUCUUAUCACUAAAUUUUGCAGACAGAGUAGUUUUUCUGUAUUUGCCCGCAGAUGUUUCAUUUCCUUGGUAUGGAAUAUGGGCAAGAUAGGUGACGAUGGAGAUUUAGGUCUGAUGUUUUAUUUUCAUAAUUUGGGUUUACGUAUCGUGUUGGAUAGAAUACUUUUCACUGCAUAAGUUAUCGUAUGUGACAAUGAUAGUGUGGUGAAUAAGUAAUGUUUGAAUAAUGAUUGGUAGUUGAAUUUUUUCCUUUCAUAAUCAUUCAUAUGUGUUUGGAUUUGUUGGAUAUGUGUGGAUUAACAUUUUUCCUGGGAUGCUAGUAAGCUACUUUCUUAUACAAAAUAUUCUUCAUAUCAAAAUCAGCCUCCUUACAUAUUGUGGGAAGACUCAAGUAACCAAUCUACUCACUGUUGUCAUCACGGAUCUAUUUCAUAUCAGAACAUGCAUAUUUAAAGUUUUGAGCACCUUACAUUGUUCGACCAAGACAUGAAGGGAUAUUUCUUUAGAAAUUGAAAUUAUUUUUGGAUGACCAGGUAUUAUUACCAAGUUUUUCUGGUCUAAUAUCACGACCAAAUCUUUGAGGUUUUGCUCCUGUAGCCCUGAUUUUCGUGGAAAAGAAAAAGGGAUGCUACAACUUGCAACCUAUGAUAGCACUGGAAACAACCUAGAAAAUACUCUGGGUUCUUUGAGUAGCUUUAAUGUUCAUUGCAGUAUUGAUUUCAAAAUGCUAGCUUCUGCAAACUAAAUGAGUCUUUGCAAUCGCAUUUAAUAUGCAUUUUGUGUUUCUACAAACUUGAAUCUUGUGACAUUUUGGAUUCUGCAUCCUAUUGGAAAUGAUCAUCUUGAGGUCUCUGCUUGCAUGCUAGAUAGUUGAGCAAUUAAGAGCAGCACCAGUUGAUGUUAGUAUCCGAGUUUAUGCAGGGUCAGUGAUCCUUAGGCCUCUUCUUAAAUCAUGGUCUAAAUCAGCUUCUUCAUUAGUAUGAAUAUUGAAAUUCGUCCUCAAAUCCCAUUCACUCAUUCAAACUUGGAAAUUACUUAAGCUAUUUGCUAGCAACCUAGUAUCUUUACCUGCUGAAGCUUGUGAAAAAUUCAAGGUUCAUUUAGCAAUCCCUGUUGUAAAUGCUUUCGCUACCUCUUCGUAGUUGCUUUAUUACUAAAUUUGCAAGCAGUCUUUGUUUUCCUAAAUUUGCUAAUGUGAUAGGGAAUAUAGAGGUAAUGAUGGAGUUCUAACUCUGACGCUAUGUCCUUUAUUUUUUUUCUUUGUGUCCUGUGGAUUAGAUUUUGUGCGGCAUAAGUUAUCCUCUGUGACAUGUGAUAAGUGUGGAGAAAGAGUAAUGCAAUAGGUAGUUGAAAUUUUUCCUUGCAUCAUUAUUCAUGUGUGUGUGGAUAACAAAAUAGCACAGAACAUUGGAGUGAAUUCUCACCAUUCAAUCAAACUAUCUUCCUAGUAAAGUGGCCUUUUUACUCAUCCUUUCUUAGUCACUUUGAAUUGUCUCUGUAUGCUCAGUACAAAGCAGGUACCUUGUUGCUUGAAUACCUGAGAAAUAAUAUGAUAGAGGUGAUUUGGAUUUUUACUUUAACUCGAGUAGUUCAAGCUUUAAUCCUAAAGAUUUCUCUACGCAUUUGGAUCGUAGGAAGUGAGGCAGAGGUUUUUGUACUUUUCUGCAUGGAUUGCUCACUUCAUAGCUUAGUGAAUCAGCAAGGAUCUUCUUGAGACAUCUGCCUUUUCUUGCAUCAGGCUGUUGCAGUUGUUGAGCUGAGCUGAGAUAUAUAUAAUUUAGGUAUCUCUGUAUUGGUAUGAUAUGCAUGCUCUCGGUGUGAAGUAUUGUUUCGGUCAACUUCAUUAUUGGUGUGUGGGGAACUGAUACAUUGUGUUUUCCCUUCCAGAACCCAGGAAAUAUAAUUCAAUCAUUCUGUCCUAGUGAUGUGGUUGGAAAACGCCUUUGCCUUUUUGAUACGUUGUGUUUUCUGCAGUGUUCCACUCGUAGUAGUAUCUUUGUUUGAUGCCUUCUUGCUCUCUACAUACCACUAUAUGCGACUUCCUAACAGCUUUUAACUUGUGUUGCUCAGAAGCAUGUGCUGAUUCCGAUUGUCUUUCAUCUUUAAUUUUUAUUUUUAUGGGAGUGGGUUAUACUUCCAACUCAGAUAUGAAACAGAGGUAUUGAGAAUCCAAUUCAAAUUUAGUUUAAUGAGAAGACUACUUCGAAAGUUACACAUAGAAGAAAGAUCGUUCAUGAUCCUUGGACAUUGUUUCCAAUACAGGGUACCCAUGUUGUAAUGUGGUAUCGUUGUAUAUGCCGAGCUUAGAAAAGAAACCACCAAGAUAGAGUUGUUGGCGGAACUGCUGACCAUUAAAUUAUGCGGGAACGGAUCCAGUAACGAGUCCUGAUUUGGCGCUUGGUUCGUAGAGCGGCAUAAUAACUCUUUCCAAUGAUGCAGCAGCAUAUUACAGCAGCGACCAAAAUGUCGGGUGGACUAUUUCGGUACCACCACAAGGAUACCAGAAGCAAAUGCUACCACCAUUGCUGCAAUGGAAUAGCGAAUGAAAACUGGAGGUGUGGCUAGAAUGAUUAGUGACAGAGUGGGCACCAUAAAAUGAUUAAACACCCACUAAGAGAGAUGAAAGGAAGGAGAUGGUAUCAAAUAACACAAACACUACGAAAAAUAUCCAUCGGUGUAAAAUCACCAUGCCAUUGCUAUUAAUUAGAUAGCAACCUAUGGUGUUUGGGAUCGAUUCCUGAGGUGCUUUUGGAGCAGUUUCUGCUUUUGGGCCAAGAACAUGGUGUUUGGUAAAAUCUCUAAAAGCUGUUUUUGAGUGAAAUUGCUUCUCCGUAAAGCUGAAUUUAGGAAGCUACAAUUUGUAGCUUUUGAAGACCUGCUUUGGGAAAACACGGAGCAUGAACAGUAGAGUUUAAUGAAAAUUUGGAGAACUGCCAAUUCUGUCCUCCUCCUUUUCUGAAAAUUACAUCGAAACAGCAAACCCAUCGCGGUAGACGUCUCAUUCCACACCUCCUCCUUCCUCUUUGCCGUCACUGCCAUUCCACAUCUCCUCCUUCCUCUUCUUUAGUGUCUGGUUCUCCCUAGUCUUCUCUCAGAUCGCCUUCUUCUUCUGCUCGUCGCUGGUGACCUCAUUCAAUUGGUGGAUUGUCGCCACCUUCCUCGGCGCCGAUUCCGCCUUCCUGCUACGCUAUUCCUUUUGUCCUCCAUGUUCUCAAUUGUGUUCCUCUGAUUAGCCGCUCGCUGAGAACUGCACAACCGUUGUUUUACCCAUAUCUGAGGACUCUUGGCAACAUCAGCUCCUCUGGUGGAACUGAUUUGAGGGUAAUUCCUUUUAUGCUCGGAUUUAUUCUUCGCCAAAUUUUUGUUCUUCGUCCUCAGUUUUUAUUAUGAAUUUGGAUGAUGGGUUUUGUUGUUCCCCCGACAAAGAGGAGGUGAGAGUAAAAAAGAAAGAGAUAGAAGAGAACAGGAAAUAAGAGAAAGAAGAAUAAGAAGAAGGAGACGAAAAGCUCUCUGGGUUUUCUUUGAUUUGUUGGCAUUUAUGGGAAUCUGAUGUUGUUUUUGUCUCAAUUUUCUGAUUGAACUUCUUUCUAGGAUUUCUUAUGGUUCCUGUAUUUGUCUUCAGCUGACCAAGCCUGUUACUUAGCCUCCAUUGGUAUGGGGAGUUUGCGGAGCUACUGCCUCUGUACAGGAACUGCAGAAAAUAAAGGAAGAGUUGUUGGAGUUGAAAAGGAAGAGACUAAGGAACUUCACGAACAAAGAUGAUGAUAACAUUGUGCCGGUUACACAGUAAAAGUCUCACAUACAAGACAAUUGGCAUAGGAGUUCAGAGGAGGACAAGCUGGUAUUUUGCAGAGCUAAAAUAACCAGAUUUGUGCCUGAAGAUGCAUGGUUCUAUGCAGCCGUCCUUCAAAGCAAAUGAAGAAAAAGCCAGAGUCAGCUACUAAUCUGCCCAGAUCAUGAAAUGCAGCAACCACUUUACAUGUAAAACGCAAUCCAAAAUUUAGAUUAGCGCCUUCAAUUUUAAAACUAUCAUGAAAGAUGGAAUAUGAUAGCCUAAGCAAACUGUGUAACAUUGUUCCUUUCCAGUUUGUUUCAACAUCUAUAUCAAUAAAUAAGCAAAACUGUAUUUCCAGUCCGUUUGCUUUUUAAAGUUAUGUUUUACGAUACCAUGAGGGAAUCCUGUAACUACAUAGACCAUGAAUUUUGAUACCUCAGAGUACAAUUCAUUGAGCUCUUUUAGGUCUCAAUGGUUUAGUUGC